CAGCAGCCGCGGGAACACGUAGGUGGCAAGCGUUGUCCGAAGUUACUGGGCGUAAAGAGCGCGUAGGCUGGUCUUUAAGUGAGUGGUGAAAGGUUCGGGCUCAACCCGGACACUGCCUUUCAUACUGGGGACCUUGAGUGUGGGAGAGGCGAGUGGAAUGGUCGGUGUAGCGGUGAAAUGCGUAGAUAUCGAUCGGAACACCCAUGGCGAAGGCAGCUCGCUGGCCUAACACUGACGCUGAGGCGCGAAGGCGUGGGGAGCAAACAGGAUUAGAUACCCGAGUAGUCCCUGUCUCUUAUAC
This 301-nucleotide ribosomal RNA is filed under the name uncultured bacterium. Its description in RNAcentral is "partial 16S ribosomal RNA". It matches the Rfam family "Bacterial small subunit ribosomal RNA", at positions 509 to 807 of the family's 1533-position model. The record is from RNAcentral.